Molecule: ribosomal RNA, 432 nt
Filed under: uncultured Holosporaceae bacterium
Lineage: Bacteria; Pseudomonadati; Pseudomonadota; Alphaproteobacteria; Holosporales; Holosporaceae
Description: bacterial SSU rRNA
Rfam family: Bacterial small subunit ribosomal RNA
Source: RNAcentral
CGGGGGGCAGCAGUGAGGAAUUUUGGACAAUGGGGGAAACCCUGAUCCAGCGAUGUCGCGUGUAUGAUGAAGGCCUUUUGGUUGUAAAGUACUUUCGUCGGUGAAGAUAAUGACGGUAACCGAAAAAGAAGCUCCGGCUAACUUCGUGCCAGCAGCCGCGGUAAGACGAAGGGAGCGAGCGUUGCUCGGAAUAAUUGGGCGUAAAGGGUGCGUAGGUGGUUUUUUAAGUGAGAUGUUAAAGACCUGGACUCAAUCUAGGAAAUGCAUUUCAUACUGAAAAACUUGAGUGUGGGAGAGGAAAUAGGAAUUUCUCAUGUAGAGGUGAAAUUCGUAGAUAUGAGAAGGAACACCAAAGGCGAAGGCAAAUUUCUGGAACACUACUGACACUGAGGCACGAAAGCGUGGGGAGCAAACAGGAUUAGAUACCCGUGU